GUUUACUAACCCUGAACCUACUAACAGGCCUUCAACCCCAGGGUAUGGUUUACUAACCCUGAACCUACUAACAGGCCUUCAACCCCAGGGUAUGGUUUACUAACCCUGAACCUCCUAACAGCCUCAGGCCUUCAACCCCAGGGUAUGGUUUACUAACCCUGAACCUACUAACAGGCCUUCAACCCCAGGGUAUGGUUUACUAACCCUGAACCUACUAACAGGCCUUCAACCCCAGGGUAUGGUUUACUAACCCUGAACCUACUAACAGGCCUUCAACCCCAGGGUAUGGUUUACUAACCCUGAACCUCCUAACAGCCUCAGGCCUUCAACCCCAGGGUAUGGUUUACUAACCCUGAACCUACUAACAGGCCUUCAACCCCAGGGUAUGGUUUACUAACCCUGAACCUACUAACAGCCUUAGGCCUUCAACCCCAGGGUAUGGUUUACUAACCCUGAACCUACUAACAGGCCUUCAACCCCAGGGUAUGGUAUACUAACCCUGAACCUACUAACAGGCCUUCAACCCCAGGGUAUGGUUUACUAACCCUGAACCUACUAACAGGCCUUCAACCCCAGGGUAUGGUUUACUAACCCUGAACCUCCUAACAGGCCUUCAACCCCAGGGUAUGGUUUACUAACCCUGAACCUACUAACAGGCCUUCAACCCCAGGGUAUGGUUUACUAACCCUGAACCUACUAACAGGCCUUCAACCCCAGGGUAUGGUUUACUAACCCUGAACCUACUAACAGGCCUUCAACCCCAGGGUAUGGUUUACUAACCCUGAACCUACUAACAGGCCUUCAACCCCAGGGUAUGGUUUACUAACCCUGAACCUACUAACAGUCCUUCAACCCCAGGGUAUGGUUUACUAACCCUGAACCUACUAACAGGCCUUCAUCCCCAGGGUAUGGUUUACUAACCCUGAACCUACUAACAGCCUCAGGCCUUCAACCCCAGGGUAUGGUUUACUAACCCUGAACCUACUAACAGGCCUUCAACCCCAGGGUAUGGUUUACUAACCCUGAACCUACUAACAGGCCUUCAACCCCAGGGUAUGGGUUACUAACGCUGAACCUACUAACAGGCCUUCAACCCCAGGGUAUGGUUUACUAACCCUGAACCUACUAACAGGCCUUCAACCCCAGGGUAUGGUUUACUAACCCUGAACCUACUAACAGGCCUUCAACCCCAGGGUAUGGUUUACUAACCCUGAACCUACUAACAGGCCUUCAACCCCAGGGUAUGGUUUACUAACCCUGAACCUCCUAACAGCCUCAGGCCUUCAACCCCAGGGUAUGGUUUACUAACCCUGAACCUACUAACAGGCCUUCAACCCCAGGGUAUGGUUUACUAACCCUGAACCUCCUAACAGCCUCAGGCCUUCAACCCCAGGGUAUGGUUUACUAACCCUGAACCUACUAACAGGCCUUCAACCCCAGGGUAUGGUUUACUAACCCUGAAUCUACUAACAGGCCUUCAACCCCAGGGUAUGGUUUACUAACCCUGAACCUACUAACAGGCCUUCAACCCCAGGGUAUGGUUUACUAACCCUGAACCUCCUAACAGCCUCAGGCCUUCAACCCCAGGGUAUGGUUUACUAACCCUGAACCUACUAACAGGCCUUCAACCCCAGGGUAUGGUUUACUAACCCUGAACCUACUAACAGCCUUAGGCCUUCAACCCCAGGGUAUGGUUUACUAACCCUGAACCUACUAACAGGCCUUCAACCCCAGGGUAUGGUAACUAACCCUGAACCUACUAACAGGCCUUCAACCCCAGGGUAUGGUUUACUAACCCUGAACCUACUAACAGGCCUUCAACCCCAGGGUAUGGUUUACUAACCCUGAACCUACUAACAGGCCUUCAACCCCAGGGUAUGGUUUACUAACCCUGAACCUACUAACAGGCCUUCAACCCCAGGGUAUGGUUUACUAACCCUGAACCUACUAACAGCCUCAGGCCUUCAACCCCAGGGUAUGGUUUACUAACCCUGAACCUACUAACAGGCCUUCAACCCCAGGGUAUGGCUUACUAACCCUGAACCUACUAACAGCCUUAGGCCUUCAACCCCAGGGUAUGGUUUACUAACCCUGAACCUACUAACAGGCCUUCAACCCCAGGGUAUGGUUUACUAACCCUGAACCUACUAACAGGCCUUCAACCCCAGGGUAUGGUUUACUAACCCUGAACCUACUAACAGCCUUAGGCCUUCAACCCCAGGGUAUGGUUUACUAACCCUGAACCUACUAACAGGCCUUCAACCCCAGGGUAUGGUAUACUAACCCUGAACCUACUAACAGGCCUUCAACCCCAGGGUAUGGUUUACUAACCCUGAACCUACUAACAGGCCUUCAUCCCCAGGGUAUGGUUUACUAACCCUGAACCUACUAACAGCCUCAGGCCUUCAACCCCAGGGUAUGGUUUACUAACCCUGAACCUACUAACAGGCCUUCAACCCCAGGGUAUGGUUUACUAACCCUGAACCUACUAACAGUCCUUCAACCCCAGGGUAUGGUUUACUAACCCUGAACCUACUAACAGGCCUUCAUCCCCAGGGUAUGGUUUACUAACCCUGAACCUACUAACAGCCUUAGGCCUUCAACCCCAGGGUAUGGUUUACUAACCCUGAACCUACUAACAGCCUUAGCCUUCAACCCCAGGGUAUGGUUUACUAACCCUGAACCUACUAACAGGCCUUCAUCCCCAGGGUAUGGUUUACUAACCCUGAACCUACUAACAGGCCUUCAACCCCAG
Non-coding RNA from Salmo salar (Atlantic salmon), 2755 nucleotides. The record is from RefSeq and is a predicted model, not a curated record. Lineage: Eukaryota; Metazoa; Chordata; Actinopteri; Salmoniformes; Salmonidae.